This 202-nucleotide long non-coding RNA is filed under the name Homo sapiens (human). RNAcentral's name for it is "HSALNT0026217". The record is from RNAcentral. Lineage: Eukaryota; Metazoa; Chordata; Mammalia; Primates; Hominidae.
GCGCUGUUUCCGCCUCUUGCCUUCGGACGCCGGAUUUUGACGUGCUCUCGCGAGAUUUGGGUCUCUUCCUAAGCCGGCGCUCGGCAAGGUUGAAACUUUUUCUGGUGUCUAUAAGAAGCUCACGGGCAAGGAUGUUAAUUUUGAAUUCCCAGAGUUUCAAUUGUAAACAAAAAUGACUAAAUAAAAAGUAUAUAUUCACAGU